RNAcentral lists this ribosomal RNA (339 nucleotides) under Oxyrrhis marina. RNAcentral describes it as "partial Bacterial large subunit ribosomal RNA". It matches the Rfam family "Bacterial large subunit ribosomal RNA", at positions 405 to 744 of the family's 2925-position model. The record is from RNAcentral. Lineage: Eukaryota; Dinophyceae; Oxyrrhinales; Oxyrrhinaceae.
GACUAGAGUAGGGCGGGACACGUGAAAUCCUGUCUGAACAUGGGGGGACCACCCUCCAAGCCUAAAUACUCGUACAUGACCGAUAGCGAACUAAGUACCGUGAGGGAAAGGUGAAAAGCACCCUGAAUAAGGGAGUGAAAAAGAACCUGAAACCGUGCGCCUACAAGCGGUCGGAGCCUUUAGAGGUGACGGCGUGCCUUUUGCAUAAUGAGCCUACGAGUUACUGUUACUAGCAAGGUUAAGAUUUUAAGGAUCGGAUCCGAAGCGAAAGCGAGUCUGAAUAGGGCGACAUAGUUAGAGGGAUGAGACCCGAAACCGAGUGAUCUAGCCAUGUGCAGG